UUUGUUUUGUUUUGCUUGCUUUCCCCCUGCAUAGAAAUUUCCCUUAAGGGAAGGGUGGGUCUAAACUACCUUUAAAAUGAGUUUCCACUCCCUGAACAAGGCUUGUAAAAGCUUGAGAGAAAAUGCCAGGGGAAAGCAUGGAAACUUUCUGGGGAUAAACUAUGGGUCUCCACCUUUGCACUUAAUCAGGGGACAGCCACUAACCCCAGUAGCUGCAUGCUUUCUGCCACCUUCAUCUACCUGAGCAAAACUUCAAGGACAUGUUUAUGCUGAAUCUCCAGAGAGAGCAAUAGAAGCCCAGCUUGAGGGAAAUGACUGGACCUUGAUUACUUAGGAUAAAAAGAGAUCAAUUUAUGGGACCAUUUCAGUAGAGCCUUUUAAGACACAUGUUUUGGAAUACAGUCAAAUGCGUGCUGCUGUAUGACCAGCCUAUUUGAUUAUGCCUCCAAAUCCUACAGAAGUAUAACAACCAUAGAACAGACAAACACCAACAGCAUCAACAACAGAGAAACUCAGUCCAGGAGGAUAUGAAACCCUUUGUAAUAAAGAAAGCAACAUCCAUGAACAUUUGUGUACAUGUGUCUUUAUGGUAGAAUGAUUUCUAUUCCUUUGAGUAUAUACCCAGCAAUGGGAUUGUUG
This 639-nucleotide long non-coding RNA is filed under the name Homo sapiens (human). RNAcentral describes it as "HSALNT0244754". Lineage: Eukaryota; Metazoa; Chordata; Mammalia; Primates; Hominidae. The record is from RNAcentral.